UAAAAAGCUAUGAAGAGGACAGUAAUAAUAGAAAAUAGUUUUUAGAGAGAUAAUCAUAUGGUGAAAGAUUAUCAACUAUACUAUUAUGAACAUCACCUUAGAGCCUGCUACUUGAAGGGGAGUAGAGUAGCACGUAGAGAUACGUUAAAGUGUAAUGAGAAAUAGAAGUCGUUCUGUGUACUUCUAUAAAAUGGGUGGUAACACGAUAUACUCGUCCCUAAG
Molecule: non-coding RNA, 222 nt
Filed under: Gottschalkia acidurici
Lineage: Bacteria; Bacillati; Bacillota; Tissierellia; Tissierellales; Gottschalkiaceae
Description: Clostridium acidurici T-box sequence
Rfam family: T-box leader
About the family: Uncharged tRNA acts as the effector for transcription antitermination of genes in the T-box leader family. T-boxes are found upstream of many aminoacyl-tRNA synthetase genes and some amino acid biosynthetic genes usually in Gram-positive bacteria.
Source: RNAcentral